Molecule: long non-coding RNA, 421 nt
Filed under: Mytilus galloprovincialis (Mediterranean mussel)
Lineage: Eukaryota; Metazoa; Mollusca; Bivalvia; Mytilida; Mytilidae
Source: RNAcentral
AAACAGCAAUAAUGUUCAGCAAAGUAAAAUCUACAAAUAAGUCAAAUGACCUAAAUGGUCAAUUGACCCCUUAAGGAGUUAUUGCCCUUUAUAGUCAAUUUUUAACAAUUUUCAUUAAUUUGGUAAAUUUAUGUAAAUUUUUACCAAAUAUAGUUCUCUGUUACUAAUGGGCAAAGUUCAUUAUAGAUAUAAUUGUAAGAAGCAAAAUCGUUCAGUAAAGUAAGAACUUCAAACACAUCACCAUCACCAAAAUACAAUUUUGUCAUGAAUCCAUUUGUGUCCUUUGUUUGAUAUGCACAUAGACCAAGGUGAGCGACACAGGCUCUUUAGAGCCUCUAGUUAUACAUGAACUUUAGUAAACAUAAUACAGAGUAUAUAUGUUAAUAAGGUCAUAUGAAAAAUUUGGAAAUUUCUAUUUAAU